AUACAGAGAAGAUUAGCAUGG
RNAcentral lists this non-coding RNA (21 nucleotides) under Arabidopsis thaliana (thale cress). Lineage: Eukaryota; Viridiplantae; Streptophyta; Magnoliopsida; Brassicales; Brassicaceae. The record is from RNAcentral.